RNAcentral lists this ribosomal RNA (253 nucleotides) under uncultured bacterium. RNAcentral describes it as "partial 16S ribosomal RNA". It matches the Rfam family "Bacterial small subunit ribosomal RNA", at positions 524 to 776 of the family's 1533-position model. The record is from RNAcentral.
UACGUAGGUGGCAAGCGUUGUCCGGAAUUAUUGGGCGUAAAGCGCGCGCAGGCGGUUCCUUAAGUCUGAUGUGAAAGCCCACGGCUCAACCGUGGAGGGUCAUUGGAAACUGGGGAACUUGAGUGCAGGAGAGAAGAGUGGAAUUCCACGUGUAGCGGUGAAAUGCGUAGAGAUGUGGAGGAACACUAGUGGCGAAGGCGACUCUUUGGCCUGUAACUGACGCUGAGGCGCGAAAGCGUGGGGAGCAAACAGG